Atopostipes suicloacalis DSM 15692 is the source of this 91-nucleotide non-coding RNA. Lineage: Bacteria; Bacillati; Bacillota; Bacilli; Lactobacillales; Carnobacteriaceae. The record is from Rfam.
UAAAGAGUAGAGAUGUAGCGUGAAGUGCUAGUGGAUGGGAUGUUGCCACUAGACGAAAAUGAUUUUGCGACUGCUUCUCGCAUCCGCUUAA